GCUCUCUUCAUCAGCACAUGGACUAAAACAGAAACAACACAGGGAGGAUCAGCAUGGCCCCCGUGCAAGGAUGACGUGAAAUCUGUGAAGCAUCUCAUGUUUCA
This is a small nuclear RNA of Myodes glareolus (Bank vole), 104 nucleotides long. The record is from RefSeq and is a predicted model, not a curated record. Lineage: Eukaryota; Metazoa; Chordata; Mammalia; Rodentia; Cricetidae.